UGUAAUCUUCCUUUUGUUGGAGUCCUCCCCAAACCAUCGUUCAGUGACUGUUGUGCUGUGCCGGCCAAAAUGCCGAAGCACCACGACUUGGAGCAUAUGGCUGCGUUUCACGAAAAGUAGCACGGGAUGUCACCAAGGGUUUUUGUAAGUUUUGCGACACAACUGAGAGCAGAGAGAAAGACAAAAGUCACACGACGACCAUGAUUUCGAGUGCUCGCUUGAACCGUACAUGGCCCUUUGGGACUGCGUCCGGCCAAUUCCCCUCCAAGCUCGCCAGGUUCCAGACAGAGCCAAGUGCAGAGCAACCAAUAUCAAGACAUUUUCAUACCCCAGUGCAGCAAGUGCGAUAUGACAAGUGGGAGAUGAACAUGGAAUCAGAUGCUGUGUUUUUUUUUUUUUUUUUUUUUUUUUCUCUCAAAGCUUUCUAGGCUUCUUUGAAAGAUGUUUCUGGUUUAAUUUAGCAUUUUUCUCUUUGGCA
Molecule: long non-coding RNA, 478 nt
Filed under: Scleropages formosus (Asian bonytongue)
Lineage: Eukaryota; Metazoa; Chordata; Actinopteri; Osteoglossiformes; Osteoglossidae
Description: lncRNA (ENSSFOG00015029215.1)
Source: RNAcentral